Molecule: long non-coding RNA, 3069 nt
Filed under: Bemisia tabaci
Lineage: Eukaryota; Metazoa; Arthropoda; Insecta; Hemiptera; Aleyrodidae
Description: lncRNA ENSSWEETPG008409
Source: RNAcentral
GUAUCACUUGCCAAGAUAAUCGGAGAGACGCCGCGUCAAGAGAUGCUAAGCCUACCCGAGCGAGCUGAAAAGAAUGAACUGGAGCCGAUCGCGGUUUUGGAGGUGAACCCCAAUGACGUCAUCGACCAGGCUUUGAAGAAGAAAUUCCGGGCUCGAGACUACCCCAAGAACUUGUACGGGAAGAAGACCUCCUCCUACAAGAAGCUCCACAUCAUCGAACAGGCUCUCAAGACGGACUUGAGCGGAAUCCAAAUCGACCUCCAGAGCGUCGUCAAACAGCUCAUGCAGGGCUUCUACGCCUCCAAGAACAUCCAGAAGGAACUGAAGAGCACUGGCGAAUACCCUGAGAACCAAGAGGCUCAAGAAGAAGCCGCCAUGGUAGCCUACUCGAUCGCCAACCAGAUACUGGAUAAGACCAAGGGCAAGAACCCAGAAAGACACCUGACGUGAAACCUGAGGAGAAGAAACCUGAAAACAAACCUGUAGAGCCGGAGGCAAAGAAAGAAGAAGCGAAGGACGAGCCCGCGAAACCUGCAGACAUAGAGGAACAGAAAGAUGAAGCCGCAAAGCCUGUAGAAAACAAAGAACAGACUCCGAAUUCUGAAAGUGCGGGAGAACAGAAAGGAGAUGCCGCCAAGCCUGCCGAACCUGAAGAAGCUGCGAAACCUGCAGAUGAGACUCCAGUGAAACCUGCAGAGACUGAGAAUACAAAAGAGGAUCCAACAAACGCUCCGGCAGAAGAGCAGCCAAAGAACGAGGGCGCUAAACCUGCAGAAAAGGAAAUGGAAGAGCCCGCUUCCAAGUCUGAGGAUGCUGAUUCGGUGAAAGAGGACCCAACGGAGAAGCAGAAGGAAAGCCAAGAUGCGUCAAGACCGGAAAAUGAGGUGACCGAUGAAAAGAAUCAGAGCCCCGCAACGCAGGAGGAACCUGAAUCAACAAAACCGGAACCCGUGAACCAAGACCAGGAAAAUAGCGAGUCUGCGAAACCGGAACAAGACGGAGAACAGAAACCUCAAGAGGAACAGAGACCGGCUGAAGGAACGGCAGCAGAAAAAGAAGCUGAAUCCGAUGCAGAGAGGGAACAACCAAAAAAUGAAUCAACUGACAGUCCAGCAGAAAGCACUCCUGGAGAUAGCCAAACCCCGAAGGAAGAAACCCAAAACCCUGAAAACUCCAACAAUGGUGAAAAACCGGCGAACGAGGAUGAAGUCAACAAAGAACCCGUAAAACAGGAAGAAGAAGCAAGUUCUGCUACCCCAGACGAAACGGAACCCACAAAACCAGAGACCGAAAAUGAGCCCGCGAAACAAGAGGAAGGAAACAGAGAACCAGAUGAAGGUCAGAAGCCACAAGACGAGUCAAAGCCAGUAGAAGAAGCGAAUGUAGAGACAGACGCGGAUUCUGACGGAGCGAAGGAACAGCCAAACAACGAACAAACGAACCAAGAGGCAGAAACUCCAGCUUCGGAGCAGACAGGCGGCGAAAUACCAAGCAAUGAUAAGGAUGCUCAGAAUCCCCAAGAGGCUUAUUCUGAAGCCUCUGAAAAUAGUGACAAUGCCCCGGAGCAGAAUGAAACUUCCGAUGAUUCCACGACCCAAAAGCGGGAGAUCCCUACGCAGGAAAAUGACGGAUCAGGCGGAAAUGGAGGUGACGGCGGAUACGAAAAUGCUCCUAGUUCAGAUGCAGGUCCCAAUGCUGUAAAUGAGAAAAGUGAUGAGAAGGCUCCAGCUGAUGACGCCGCACAGGAACCGUCUAAAGAAGAUGCCUGGAGACCAGAUUCAUCAGCAGAUGAAUCAGAGACUCCAGCACCACAAACUGAUGAGUCUAAAAAUCCGGUGGACCAAGAACAGGCACCUACAACUACGACCGAAGGCAAUGACUCGGAGAAUAAAGUAGAUGAGCCCAAAAAGGACAAUGCUGAUACUCAAAAUGAGGAAUCAAAAGAUGCUGAGAAAAAUUCGCCCCAAGCAAAGGCCCCCCAGGAGAACAACACAAAUCGAGAAGCAGCAUUCCCAGCUCCACAAGGUAUUCCCAAUCCUGAUUGUAAUAGGAAACAAUGAGCUGAAAGAUGCAAGAUAAGUUCUUCCAUGAAAGAUCAAUGGUAGUCUCCGAUAUUCAUUACAAUCAUGGGAAAUGAUUCCUAAUGAACAAAUGUAUUGGACAAUUUGCUCGUAUAAUAUUUCAGGGGGGAAGAACACCGUGUCUGGUUUAAGAUUUUUUCUGUACCGAACGAGCAGAGAAAGAUAGGGGUAAAAUGCACCUUCCGACACAUUUCUUGAGGUAUUACCCACUUGCGACAUACUUUUACUCAGAACAUGUCUUCGCGCAUAGAAACUUUACAUUAGUGUCAGGACGGAUUAACGGUCAAUGGACUGCUAUACUAAGUACGAAUUUGAGCAUUCUAAUACGUGUUUUCCCUUCAAAAUUUCAUAUAGAUCACGAUUUCGCGCGAGGAAAAUGACUAAAAUUAGAAGUAUUUCUGCUACGUGGAACUACAGAAACGUUUGGGAAGAUGAGGUGCGCCCCUGGUAAGCUGCUUAGGAAAAAAUGUAAAAGUGGGCAAUUUUCGUUUGCGCAAAUCGUAUUCUACGGGAAAUUUUGGCGAGAAAACAUGCAUCUUGAUGCUUAAAUUUGCAUUUUGUGAAGUAGCCGAAUCGUAAACUUAUUCUUACAUAAAUGACGCGAGAAUCGGCAAUGUUUAAAAUAUCAAAUUUGACAUUUUUAGCUGGAGAAGCCGACGCUCCCGUGAGGCCCCCAAGCCCAAUGGACGAUCCUGAGGACAAGCCGGAUGACAAAAACAAUGUAUCAGAUCCAAAAAAUGAACAGCCUAAAGAGGCCGCAGAGGAAACAAGACCAGAUCAACAACCUGAGGUAUCUCCAGCAAAAAGGCACCAGAGGAGGCGAAGAAACGGAAAACUAGGAGAAUCAAGGUAAAUUUUACCAUUUCAAUGAAAUUAAGCAAAACAAUAUUUUCUUGUUGCGGACUGAUAUUCAACAUUUCUACAUUGACGGAUUAGAAAGAUAGAUUGGCGUUUUAUACUGCCAAAGAUUCUGAUUAGUUAUAACUUU